GCCGAGAGAAAAGAAAGUAAAAGAAAUAAAAAAAGAGAGAAAAAGGGGGGAAAGAGAAUAGUUUGUGUUAUUUUUGGAAGAAUGGGAGGUGAAGGCUUUCAUUUGAAGAUGGAAGGACAUCCGGCCACCAUGCGCGGCUGAACACCUAGUCUAGGGCUGGAUGAAGCCCUAGCAAUGUAUCAGGGCAUUGUAGUUCUUAUUUUUAUUAUUAUUUUGGAGCUUGUUUAAAUUCUUAUUUUCAAUGAAAUAUUCCUUUAUGAUAUUUAAACUUUGAGCAUGCUAGUUACUAAUCAUGUUUGCUAAAGUAGUCUAAGAUGAUUCAUGCCUAGGAAGAUGAAGUGUGCUGCAUCCUAGAUUAGCAUACUUAGGUAGACACUUCAUGCUACACCGAAGAUGGAUCUUCCUAACACUCUUUAUGUUUUUAUUUUAGAAGGCUUGUAGCCAAUUUGCAUGCCUUUCCAAAAGAUAAAAAUUAAGAACACAGUCCCUAAUGCAAUGCUACGCGGUGGAUUCCAAACCCUAGAUCUAUCUACUUUGAUAAAUUUCAAUUCGUAUUCAUAGAUUAAUUUAGUUAAAUCAAGUUAGCAAAUCCUUCUUCUUGAUUUAUUUUUAAAAGAAAAAUAACUUAUUCUUCAAUCCCUGUGGACCGACACCCGUAAUCACUAUCCUACAGGAUACGUGCUAUUGCGAGGUUUACUUUUGAAAUUGAAAGAACCGAUCAAUUUUUGGCGCCGUUGCCGGAGAUUGCUUGCAUAGUUAU
RNAcentral lists this long non-coding RNA (760 nucleotides) under Phoenix dactylifera (date palm). RNAcentral's name for it is "long non-coding RNA (PDAC_LNC010862)". The record is from RNAcentral. Lineage: Eukaryota; Viridiplantae; Streptophyta; Magnoliopsida; Arecales; Arecaceae.